AAANGCCGUCGACUUUCNAAUCGUGAGGGGUCAGGUCCCUCUAUCCC
Molecule: transfer RNA, 47 nt
Filed under: Diplacus nanus
Lineage: Eukaryota; Viridiplantae; Streptophyta; Magnoliopsida; Lamiales; Phrymaceae
Description: partial tRNA-Leu
Source: RNAcentral